Molecule: long non-coding RNA, 1662 nt
Organism: Equus asinus (donkey)
Lineage: Eukaryota; Metazoa; Chordata; Mammalia; Perissodactyla; Equidae
Source: Ensembl
GUGAGUCCUUCCAGGGAAUCUCUGAACAUGGGGGUGGUCUUGGGGACCCCUGACACAAUGAGUGUGUCUGUGAGUGUGUGUGUGUGUGUGUGUGUGUGUGUAAUUUCUUGCUUUUCAUUUCUGGAAGGUAGUUAUAAUACUUUCAUAAGGAACAAUAAAUAUGCUUUAAAAUUUUGUCGAAUGAAUCACAGCCAUGACGUUAUUUCAGGAGUAAGAUCAUGCUCUUUGCGCAGUAUCGGCAGCGACAAUUUCUGGCAGCUGCUCAGCUGUGUGGCUUCCUUCCUGCUCCCAGCCCCCAGGGCCCCAACAUCCCUCCCGAUGACGAGAUUGUCAGAACUCACCCCCACCUCUCCUCAGCCGCUGGUGGCAGGCAGGAAACGGCUGGGGUGUCCCGGAGGAAGGCCUCGCCCCCGGGAGGGAACCGAAUGUGCGUGCAAUGAAGAGCCAGAACUGCCAGAUACAAAGAUGAGAUUUUCAGCUGCCGAAGAAGGUUCUGGCCUGUCUGCUCAGAGGACGUGUUUGUCAGGAGUUUCCAGACUGGCCCUGGAGGGGAACUCAGAAUUUGUCCGCAGGACGAUGCUGCCUCCCCCUGUGGAAGUCGUGGAUGGACGAGCAAACGGAUAAGAGCGGGAGCAGGCUCUCAUCUCCUGCUGGUGCUUCCCAGUGGCCAAACCAGGAGAGGCACAAGGGCAUGGAGAUCGGCUUCCUGGGCCUGGGACAGAGGAGAAGGGCAGAGAGCGGAUCUGGAGAAUAACCAGCAUGUCCUUGAAUCACAGAUCUGCUGCUUACUAGAUGCGUGCUCUCAGGCCAGAGAGUUACCAUCUCUGAGCCUUGGUUUCCGUAACUGUAAAGUGGGGCGAGUAAUGGUAACUUUCCCAGAGUUAUCCAAACAUUGAAAAAAAUAAUGCACAUUCCUGUUUCCUAUAAUAACCCUGCUGAUUAGGACAGAAGCUUUGGGAAAAGAAAAAGGCUUCCUUUCUUAUGCCAAGAGCUGAAGGUAUAGCAGUUGGGCUGGAAGUGUCAGCAGCCCAAGCUGGAGUCCUUUUUUCCAAAUAAAAAGACCUCCAGGAGCUUCAUAAUAUAGUCCUGAACAAGCCCUGAAUGACCACCCCAUGCUGAAGCAUGGCAACUGUCUCCCUAUUUCGAUGGUUUACAUAAAAUGCAGAGACUAUGAAAAUGUUACUUUAUGCGGCUUUGGCUGCAUAUUAUGUGAAGACUGUUGGAGAAUCAGCAAAAUGUCUGUUCCACAGCUUGUUCCCAUCAUUGUCCUCAGUGAAAGACUCCAGCUCAUUCCCAGGUGUACAUACCAGAAUCCCAGGAGGCAUCCGUGACCCCAUUCCUUCACCCUAUGUCCUGCUCAUCACCACGUCCUGUCGAUUUCAUAAAAGCAGCUCACUUCCAUUUUCAUGACUCUGGUCCAAGCCCUGCCAUCCUUCACCUCCUCACUGCUUUCCACUCUUCCCAUCUGUUGUCCAUACAGCUGCCAGGGUGAUCUUUUUGAAACCCAAAUCUUAGCAUGUCAGUCCUGUUGAAAGCUUUUAAUCACUUCCCAUUGCUCUGAGAAUGUGGUCCUAAAGGCCUCUCAUGAGCCAGCUGUUCACAUCUGUGGCUGCCUCUCCUGGCCUGCUCUGCUCGACUACCACUGGUUUCCUUUCGAUUCCC